RNAcentral lists this ribosomal RNA (599 nucleotides) under Staphylococcus epidermidis. RNAcentral describes it as "bacterial LSU rRNA". It matches the Rfam family "Bacterial large subunit ribosomal RNA", at positions 2332 to 2925 of the family's 2925-position model. The record is from RNAcentral. Lineage: Bacteria; Bacillati; Bacillota; Bacilli; Caryophanales; Staphylococcaceae.
UGGAAAUCAUUCAUAGAGUGUAAAGGCAUAAGGGAGCUUGACUGCGAGACCUACAAGUCGAGCAGGGUCGAAAGACGGACUUAGUGAUCCGGUGGUUCCGCAUGGAAGGGCCAUCGCUCAACGGAUAAAAGCUACCCCGGGGAUAACAGGCUUAUCUCCCCCAAGAGUUCACAUCGACGGGGAGGUUUGGCACCUCGAUGUCGGCUCAUCGCAUCCUGGGGCUGUAGUCGGUCCCAAGGGUUGGGCUGUUCGCCCAUUAAAGCGGUACGCGAGCUGGGUUCAGAACGUCGUGAGACAGUUCGGUCCCUAUCCGUCGUGGGCGUAGGAAAUUUGAGAGGAGCUGUCCUUAGUACGAGAGGACCGGGAUGGACAUACCUCUGGUGUACCAGUUGUCGUGCCAACGGCAUAGCUGGGUAGCUAUGUAUGGACGGGAUAAGUGCUGAAAGCAUCUAAGCAUGAAGCCCCCCUCAAGAUGAGAUUUCCCAACUUCGGUUAUAAGAUCCCUCGAAGAUGACGAGGUUAAUAGGUUCGAGGUGGAAGCGUGGUGACACGUGGAGCUGACGAAUACUAAUCGAUCGAAGACUUAAUCAAUUUUUAAA